RNAcentral lists this ribosomal RNA (429 nucleotides) under Chloroflexota bacterium. Its description in RNAcentral is "Chloroflexi bacterium partial 16S ribosomal RNA". It matches the Rfam family "Bacterial small subunit ribosomal RNA", at positions 355 to 776 of the family's 1533-position model. The record is from RNAcentral. Lineage: Bacteria; Bacillati; Chloroflexota.
UGGGGAAUAUUGCACAAUGGGCGCAAGCCUGAUGCAGCCAUGCCGCGUGUGUGAAGAAGGCCUUCGGGUUGUAAAGCACUUUCAGCGGGGAGGAAGGCGGUGAGGUUAAUAACCUCAUCGAUUGACGUUACCCGCAGAAGAAGCACCGGCUAACUCCGUGCCAGCAGCCGCGGUAAUACGGAGGGUGCAAGCGUUAAUCGGAAUUACUGGGCGUAAAGCGCACGCAGGCGGUCUGUCAAGUCGGAUGUGAAAUCCCCGGGCUCAACCUGGGAACUGCAUUCGAAACUGGCAGGCUAGAGUCUUGUAGAGGGGGGUAGAAUUCCAGGUGUAGCGGUGAAAUGCGUAGAGAUCUGGAGGAAUACCGGUGGCGAAGGCGGCCCCCUGGACAAAGACUGACGCUCAGGAGCGAAAGCGUGGGGAGCAAACAGG